AUUGAACGCUGGCGGCAGGCCUAACACAUGCAAGUCGAACGGUAACAGGAAGUAGCUUGCUACUUUGCUGACGAGUGGCGGACGGGUGAGUAAUGUCUGGGGAUCUGCCUGAUGGAGGGGGAUAACUACUGGAAACGGUAGCUAAUACCGCAUAAUGCCGCAAGACCAAAGCGGGGGACUUUCGGGCCUCGCACCAUCAGAUGAACCCAGAUGGGAUUAGCUAGUAGGUAGGGUAAUGGCUUACCUAGGCGACGAUCCCUAGCUGGUCUGGGAGGGAGACCAGGCAAACUGGAACUGAGACAAGGUCCAGACUCCUACGGGAGGAAGCAGUGGGGAAUAUUGCACAAUGGGCGCAAGCCUGAUGCAGCCAUGCCGCGUGUAUGAAGAAGGCCUUCGGGUUGUAAAGUACUUUCAGUCAGGAGGAAGGGUGUGAAAUUAAUACUUUCAUGCAUUGACGUUACUGACAGAAGAAGCACCGGCUAACUCCGUGCCAGCAGCCGCCGUAA
RNAcentral lists this ribosomal RNA (506 nucleotides) under uncultured bacterium. RNAcentral's name for it is "partial 16S ribosomal RNA". It matches the Rfam family "Bacterial small subunit ribosomal RNA", at positions 30 to 523 of the family's 1533-position model. The record is from RNAcentral.